UUGGGAUGAUUGUAUCGUGUUCAAUGCCCCCCACUGGUUCUGCUGUUAUUUUAAGCCUUUCCUCCUAUUUUAUUGUCGCUGCUACUGCUGCAACCCCAUUUCCCCAAAUGGAUCACUGAAGACUUGUUUUAUUUCAUACUCUUCACUCUCUCUGUUCCACACUGGAAACACAUUUAUCUGCUUCACUGACACGAUAGAAUCCAUAAGUGAAAGCUGUCAGAGGAGACGAAGGGAUGGAUGUAGAUGACAGACACACAUAGAUGGAGAUGGAGACGCAGAGGGCGCGUGGAGUCAGGUUGCGCCAGGCUGGAGUCUAGAGGCAGAGCACACAGUGAACACAUCAGCGGACCACAACUCGACGCCUUCAGUGACUGAAGUAAUGUUCAUUCCACGUAAGGACGUGCACACACUGUGCCACCCAGUGAGGUGACUCACAAGAAGAAAAGAAGGAGCUGCGCUCACGAAAACACUGGAAUAUACACAGCACACAGCGUAGCUAUUAUUUGUACCUGGACACCUGGCUACUAAGUAGUUUCUGGGGCAGCUCUGGGUUGUUCUAGUUGAUCAUGUACCAAUACUCUCAUAGUGUGCACUACAACAGCUACUGUAGUCUCCUUUGCCUCCAAAGUACAGUAUUUGAUUUAAUUCACCUAUAACAAAG
Long non-coding RNA from Betta splendens (Siamese fighting fish), 661 nucleotides. RefSeq lists it as uncharacterized. The transcript has 3 exons. The record is from RefSeq and is a predicted model, not a curated record. Lineage: Eukaryota; Metazoa; Chordata; Actinopteri; Anabantiformes; Osphronemidae.